This 253-nucleotide ribosomal RNA is filed under the name uncultured bacterium. RNAcentral's name for it is "partial 16S ribosomal RNA". It matches the Rfam family "Bacterial small subunit ribosomal RNA", at positions 524 to 776 of the family's 1533-position model. The record is from RNAcentral.
UACGGAGGGGACUAGCGUUGUUCGGAAUUACUGGGCGUAAAGCGCACGUAGGCGGACUACUAAGUCAGGGGUGAAAUCCCGGGGCUCAACCCCGGAACUGCCUUUGAUACUGGUAGUCUCGAGUCCGGAAGAGGUGAGUGGAAUUCCGAGUGUAGAGGUGAAAUUCGUAGAUAUUCGGAGGAACACCAGUGGCGAAGGCGGCUCACUGGUCCGGUACUGACGCUGAGGUGCGAAAGCGUGGGGAGCAAACAGG